UGCGUAGGCGGAUUAAUAAGUCAGUGGUGAAAACCUGCAGCUUAACUGUAGAACUGCCAUUGAUACUGUUAGUCUUGAGUACGGUCAAGGUAGGCGGAAUGUGUAAUGUAGCGGUGAAAUGCUUAGAUAUUACACAGAACACCGAUUGCGAAGGCAGCUUACUGGGCCAUCACUGACGCUGAGGCACGAAAGCGUGGGUAGCGAACAGGAUUAGAUACCCUGGUAGUCC
This 229-nucleotide ribosomal RNA is filed under the name uncultured bacterium. RNAcentral's name for it is "partial 16S ribosomal RNA". It matches the Rfam family "Bacterial small subunit ribosomal RNA", at positions 568 to 796 of the family's 1533-position model. The record is from RNAcentral.